RNAcentral lists this ribosomal RNA (253 nucleotides) under uncultured bacterium. Its description in RNAcentral is "partial 16S ribosomal RNA". It matches the Rfam family "Bacterial small subunit ribosomal RNA", at positions 524 to 776 of the family's 1533-position model. The record is from RNAcentral.
UACGUAGGGUGCAAGCGUUAAUCGGAAUUACUGGGCGUAAAGCGUACGCAGGCGGCUUUGCAAGACAGGUGUGAAAUCCCCGGGCUUAACCUGGGAACUGCAUUUGUGACUGCAUCGCUGGAGUGCGGCAGAGGGGGAUGGAAUUCCGCGUGUAGCAGUGAAAUGCGUAGAUAUGCGGAGGAACACCGAUGGCGAAGGCAAUCCCCUGGGCCUGCACUGACGCUCAUGCACGAAAGCGUGGGGAGCAAACAGG